GAUGAACGCUGGCGGCGUGCCUAAUACAUGCAAGUCGAGCGAACAGACGAGGAGCUUGCUCCUCUGACGUUAGCGGCGGACGGGUGAGUAACACGUGGAUAACCUACCUAUAAGACUGGGAUAACUUCGGGAAACCGGAGCUAAUACCGGAUAAUAUAUUGAACCGCAUGGUUCAAUAGUGAAAGACGGUUUUGCUGUCACUUAUAGAUGGAUCCGCGCCGCAUUAGCUAGUUGGUAAGGUAACGGCUUACCAAGGCAACGAUGCGUAGCCGACCUGAGAGGGUGAUCGGCCACACUGGAACUGAGACACGGUCCAGACUCCUACGGGAGGCAGCAGUGGGGAAUCUUCCGCAAUGGGCGAAAGCCUGACGGAGCAACGCCGCGUGAGUGAUGAAGGUCUUCGGAUCGUAAAACUCUGUUAUUAGGGAAGAACAAAUGUGUAAGUAACUAUGCACGUCUUGACGGUACCUAAUCAGAAAGCCACGGCUAACUACGUG
This 497-nucleotide ribosomal RNA is filed under the name uncultured bacterium. RNAcentral describes it as "partial 16S ribosomal RNA". It matches the Rfam family "Bacterial small subunit ribosomal RNA", at positions 28 to 507 of the family's 1533-position model. The record is from RNAcentral.